UGCGGGGUAGAGCAGUCCGGUAGCUCGUCAGGCUCAUAACCUGGAGGUCGUAGGUUCAAAUCCUACCCCCGCGUCCA
This 77-nucleotide transfer RNA is filed under the name Verrucomicrobiota bacterium. RNAcentral describes it as "tRNA-Met". It matches the Rfam family "tRNA". From Rfam's summary of the family: Transfer RNA (tRNA) molecules are approximately 80 nucleotides in length. Their secondary structure includes four short double-helical elements and three loops (D, anti-codon, and T loops). RNAcentral also lists the same sequence under 3 other names. The record is from RNAcentral. Lineage: Bacteria; Pseudomonadati; Verrucomicrobiota.